RNAcentral lists this ribosomal RNA (465 nucleotides) under uncultured bacterium. RNAcentral's name for it is "partial 16S ribosomal RNA". It matches the Rfam family "Bacterial small subunit ribosomal RNA", at positions 338 to 795 of the family's 1533-position model. The record is from RNAcentral.
CCUACGGGAGGCAGCAGUAGGGAAUUUUCGUCAAUGGGCGCAAGCCUGAACGAGCGAUGCCGCGUGAGUGAAGAAGGCCUUCGGGUCGUAAAGCUCUGUUGCGGGGGAAAAAAGGCAGCAUCAGGAAAUGGGUGCUGACUGAUGGUGCCCCGCCAGAAAGUCACGGCUAACUACGUGCCAGCAGCCGCGGUAAUACGUAGGUGGCGAGCGUUAUCCGGAAGGAUUGGGCGUAAAGGGUGCGCAGGCGGGCCUGCAAGUCUGGAGUGAAACGCAUGAGCUCAACUCAUGCAUGGCUUUGGAAACGGGAUGACUGGAGAGCGGGAGAGGGCGGUGGAACUCCGUGUGUAGCGGUAAAAUGCGUAGAUAGAUGGAAGAACACCAGUGGCGAAGGCGGCCGCCUGGCCUGUUGCUGACGCUGAGGCACGAAAGCGUGGGGAGCAAAUAGGAUUAGAUACCCUGGUAGUC